Molecule: long non-coding RNA, 1448 nt
Organism: Temnothorax curvispinosus
Lineage: Eukaryota; Metazoa; Arthropoda; Insecta; Hymenoptera; Formicidae
Exons: 3
Source: RefSeq, a predicted model, not a curated record
CCUCUCUCUUCGCUAUUGUUCGCGCCCUACCUCGUGCUGCCGCUCUCGGCUCGGCUCACCUACCGUGCGCCCCUCUAGCUCAGCUACCGUUCGUGCUUCCACCUUCUCAGUGCCUAGACACUUUACCUCCCUUUAUCUCCUCUUACCUGCCCCUCCUCUGUUCCCCUUCUUACCUCCUCACUCUCUCACCUCCAUACCUCCUCGCUCUAUCACCCUCUCCUUCCUCAGCCUCCCUCGUCACUCUCUUCUAAACCCUUUUGCUCUCGCUCACUUGCACACCUGUCACUCUCGUUCUCUCCGGAACCGGCUAUCAUUUGGUACAAGCGGUGGAACGCAGUACAUUUGAGAAAAAUGAUAAGCUUGGUAUGGCAACCAUCAUACAAACGGUCAGUAACGAAUACUUGCGACUAAUAAAAAGUAAGACGUGCAAGCAAGCUAUACAGAUAUUGAAAGAUCGUCUCGAAAGAACGGGCGCUCUACGAAUGCUAUACGCGCGAUGUGCAUAGAGCAAAUGGAGACCUGAGGCCUUGUGAUAACCGAGGAAGAGAAAAUUACUUAACUCUUAAUGUCGAUGCCAGCAGAAUUCAACAACGUAAUCACGGCGAUCAAAACUAUGGCAGCCGAGUUCGUAAAAAACCGUCUUUUGGACGAAAAAAUGAAACUAAAGAAAUGACAAGCGUCAAGUUACGGACGAGACGUGGCAUUCUUAUCCUGCUUUAACUGCGGUAAGCAAGGGCACAUCAAACGAAACUGUCGCUACAAGCAAGGAAACGACAACAGAAGACAUGGCAAUCGACAACUCUCCGAGUACAACGAAAAGCGUGCGACGGGAAGGCAAUCACCGGGAACAACACGUGAUGGACAGUCAAGACAGAGAGAUAAGUUCAAUCAUUCACGAUAAAACGACAGAGAAAACUCAAGCGGCAAAGCGCGAACAGCCGAGGCAACUCGAAAAGAAGAUGUCGUCACAUUCUGCUCGCAAGCGGAUACAGCGUACGGUAACACAGAUAAUAAAGGUAUAAACUUCAUAUUAGAUUCGGGCGCGAGUUACCACAUGAUUAAAAAGGAACUGUUCGAGCUUACGUACAACCGGAGAAAACUAAAGAACCGAUCAAAGUUACGGUGGCAAAAGCAGAUCAGGCAAUUACGGUAACUGAGAUAGCCGAUAUAAAUCUGGAUUACAAAGGUAAGAUCAUUUAAUUAACCGAUGUAUUAUACGCUACCCAAUUAAAAUGCAAUCUUCUGUCCAUUAAACGGCUAGAAACUAAGGGAUUUCAAGUCGAAUUUAGAAACGGAUCCGGACAUACAUACAAAGGAAAAGAGCUGAUCGUGCGAACGCAACCCAGAAGCAACCUACAUAAUUUUACAUUUAAGAAGACGUCAACGAACGAUUGGGCAAAUAUAGCGCUAACUGGCGACCCAAUGAUAUGGCACCGGCGCCUAGGACA